AAAUUGAAGAGUUUGAUCAUGGCUCAGAUUGAACGCUGGCGGCAGGCCUAACACAUGCAAGUCGAGCGGAAACGAGUUAUCUGAACCUUCGGGGAACGAUAACGGCGUCGAGCGGCGGACGGGUGAGUAAUGCCUAGGAAAUUGCCCUGAUGUGGGGGAUAACCAUUGGAAACGAUGGCUAAUACCGCAUGAUGCCUAUGGGCCAAAGA
This 209-nucleotide ribosomal RNA is filed under the name Vibrio parahaemolyticus. RNAcentral's name for it is "partial 16S ribosomal RNA". It matches the Rfam family "Bacterial small subunit ribosomal RNA", at positions 1 to 207 of the family's 1533-position model. Lineage: Bacteria; Pseudomonadati; Pseudomonadota; Gammaproteobacteria; Vibrionales; Vibrionaceae. The record is from RNAcentral.